This 73-nucleotide transfer RNA is filed under the name Aedes aegypti (yellow fever mosquito). It matches the Rfam family "tRNA". From Rfam's summary of the family: Transfer RNA (tRNA) molecules are approximately 80 nucleotides in length. Their secondary structure includes four short double-helical elements and three loops (D, anti-codon, and T loops). Lineage: Eukaryota; Metazoa; Arthropoda; Insecta; Diptera; Culicidae. The record is from Rfam by way of RNAcentral.
GGCUCCGAAGCUUGUAGGUUGAAGCUCCCAUCUAGUAAAUAGGAAGUUGUGAGUUCGAUCCCCACCGGAGCAC